This is an RNA transcript of Glycine soja, 1601 nucleotides long. RefSeq lists it as uncharacterized. The transcript is spliced from 9 exons. NCBI's taxonomy places the organism in Eukaryota, Viridiplantae, Streptophyta, Magnoliopsida, Fabales, Fabaceae. The record is from RefSeq and is a predicted model, not a curated record.
AUACAACUGUAGAGCCACUCUGCUCAACUCAGCAAUGGAAACCCUAGACUCAGCAGUAUCAACUCCUUCAAGAACCUCCGAUUCUAAGCCUCAAACUUCAUCUCCAUUGCCACCAUCGGUGCUCAGACUAUGGAGGCCAGCCGCGCAACGGAAUUUGCGGAACCAGUGGUCACAAUUGGUUUCGUGCAAAAAUCGAUGGUUCUCUGCUUCUUCCGUGGGAAGAUCUCACGCAACUGCACUAGUCAAUUUUCAUCUUUCCCAAAGGUACAUGCCUGAUAUGAAAUUAGGUGUUCUGAGUGAUAUGCCUGAUAUAAAAAAGAGAGCUUGUUUGAAACUAUUUAAGCGGCAGGAACUGCAAAGGAGCAAAUUAGUGUUGUCUUAUAAGGACAUGGUGGGCAUUGUAAGUGACAUGAUCAAUGUUAGCAGAUCAAUGAAGUGUUUUUUCAAAGGAUCAAACAAUAGUCCGCUGUUACAAUUUUCUUACAACUCUGCAGACCAGAGUGAUUCUGGAGAGGGUGGAGAGGGUGGUGGAAUUCCAGUAUUUACAUUUUAUUCAAUCACUUCGCAUGAGAAAUUUGCUGAGGAACUGAUUCAGAUGUUUAGCUUGGAACUAUGUUUGAAGCGAUUACUUGUUCUUGAAUUUAUGUCCAUUGGUUAUGACACUUCAGCAGUAAAACAGUUGCAUUGGUCAACUCAGCUUUAUGAUGAAGAAUUUAAAGAUUUGAGAGACUGCAAUCUGUACUGUGAAGAGACUCAUGGGCCAGUUCCACCAAGAUUAAGGGAUGGGAAAUCUGACAUUGAUGCUUUAAGAUUUGACAACCAACCCAACCCUGAGGUUUUACAGGCGUUUGCAAAUUGCAUGGACUGAGCCUUCUUUUUUGGGGAGGGACAGGCUAACUUGAGUCUGGUUUAUUUAACAACAUGGCUUGCAGAGGCGAACAUAGACACUCCCAAAGUGAAUGAGAUAUUUGCAAUUGUUGGGGAGGAAAUGCAAGUUAGCGUAUGUUAAAGAAAGAUACCGUCAUCAGCUCUGAAGAACAUUGAACGACAUCGUGUUGAAGUCAAAAUGGCCGAAUUAAUAGACCUUCACACUCUUUUUAGGCAUUGUCAUGCUUGGCCAUACGAAAAUGAUAAUUAUGACAUGUAGAUUAGUAAUUUUAGUCUCACAACACUAACAAUUGUGGACAGAUCACAAGGCAGACAAAAUCUUCAUAUGCAGAUGGAAUUAGUUCAAAGGAAAGGCAAACCUAACAAAAUUGGUGUCUGCAAGGAUAGUAUGCUCAAUAAUAUAUGCAAAAAUGUGGGAGGUACUAAACUAUUUUUCUAUGGUGAUUUUCCCCCCCGUUUUACCCUUUAGGAAAGUUUUAUACAAUUUUUUAAAAGAAUAACUGAACUUGAAGCCUUGAACAACUGUAACUUACUACUUUCAUUGUCAAAUUAGAGUGAGCCUACAGACAGCAACGUAUGGGUUUGUAAUUCGGAUUCUGGAUUGGAUUGAUGUGGUCCCACAGCUGAUAUAGAAAGAAAUUUAAAUAAAAUGCUGCCAAAAACUAAUCUUGGUAUGUUAUGCCAAUACCAAUUUAAUUUAUGUAUAUUUAUUA